Cygnus atratus (black swan) is the source of this 400-nucleotide long non-coding RNA. RefSeq lists it as uncharacterized. The record is from RefSeq and is a predicted model, not a curated record. The transcript has 4 exons. Lineage: Eukaryota; Metazoa; Chordata; Aves; Anseriformes; Anatidae.
CUGCUGGAGCAGCUCCACUUCACUUCACCUAGAAGAGGAUGAGAAGAAAAUACUUUGAAGCAAACAGAGGGCAACAGAUCCUUCCAUUCUGAUAUGCCGCAUCAAGAACCAUUACAUGAUAGCUGCAGAAGGAAAGAUCAUGCAGAGCAGGUAUGAGAAACCAACAGGCAUGCAAGAAUUUGGGGUGCCAGAACUGUGAGUUAGAAAUUUGGGUGUGGAAAACACAGUCGUACGCAGACGUGGGCAGGACUUUGCUACAAAUGCAUGCCCUUACUGUGAAGGAGGAACACCCACCUCUCCUGCAAUCAAAUGAGUCACCUGGCCUUCAGCACACUCCUUCCAGGAAUCUGGCCCACUCAGAAACCCAGCCACACAAAGCACUGACAAGAACCAGUGCUGA